GAUGAACGCUGGCGGUAUGCUUAACACAUGCAAGUCGAACGGUCACUUCGGUGAUAGUGGCGGACGGGUGAGUAACGCGUGAGAAUCUGUCUUCAGGUCGGGGACAACAGUUAGAAAUGACUGCUAAUACCGGAUGCGCCUUUGGGUGAAAGAUUUAUUGCCUGAAAAAGAGCUCGCGUCAGAUUAGCUAGUAGGUGGUGUAAGAGACUACCUAGGCUCCGAUCUGUAGCUGGUCUGAGAGGACGAUCAGCCACACUGGAACUGAGACACGGUCCAGACUCCUACGGGAGGCAGCAGUGGGGAAUUUUCCGCAAUGGGCGAAAGCCUGACGGAGCAAUACCGCGUGAGGGACGAAGGCUUUUGGGUCGUAAACCUCUUUUCUCAAGGAAGAUGAUGACGGUACUUGAGGAAUAAGCAUCGGCUAACUCUGUG
This 432-nucleotide ribosomal RNA is filed under the name uncultured bacterium. RNAcentral's name for it is "partial 16S ribosomal RNA". It matches the Rfam family "Bacterial small subunit ribosomal RNA", at positions 28 to 507 of the family's 1533-position model. The record is from RNAcentral.